CCAUCCCUGGAGCUCCAGACUCCCGCGGCGCCUAGGCGGUUAACAAGGGACACUCUGCGCGCGCCGUCCUGUCCCUCCUGUCCCUUCGGGAGGCUGGGGAGGGGGAGGGGCAGGGCCCAAGCUGGGCCGCAGAGCCCGAGAUUGGAUCUUGAGGCUCCUAUCAUCUACCCACUAAUGGUGACCUAUUGAUUACUGUGCCAGGAGAGGCUGUGAAAAUGGGCACUUAAGGUUCAGUGCUUAGCAGACAAACCCAGGACAUAAGGUGACAGGUCAGUUCCACAACAGCUGCAUGUGGGGACCAGAGUGACAACCAUGGCAGAACCACUUCAGACACAGAGGACAUGCGCUUCUGAAUCCAGCAGAAGACAGUGUCUCAUGGAGGGAAGGGAAUGUUCUCAGACCAGAUCAGCAGGACUUUGAAGGAAUUGGAUUUCAAACAACAUACAAUUUUCUUUCUUAAAUAUGUCCCAUGCCCUGUUUGGAAUACACUCACAAUAAACUGGUCUAUUGCUAUGCA
Mus musculus (house mouse) is the source of this 517-nucleotide long non-coding RNA. RefSeq annotates it as predicted gene, 42232. NCBI's taxonomy places the organism in Eukaryota, Metazoa, Chordata, Mammalia, Rodentia, Muridae. The transcript has 2 exons. The record is from RefSeq and is a predicted model, not a curated record.